RNAcentral lists this ribosomal RNA (253 nucleotides) under uncultured bacterium. Its description in RNAcentral is "partial 16S ribosomal RNA". It matches the Rfam family "Bacterial small subunit ribosomal RNA", at positions 524 to 776 of the family's 1533-position model. The record is from RNAcentral.
UACGUAGGGGGCUAGCGUUGUCCGGAUUUACUGGGUGUAAAGGGUUCGUAGGCGGUGUGGCAAGUCGGGAGUGAAAUCUCUGGGCUCAACUCAGAGACUGCUUCCGAAACUGCUGUGCUGGAGUGUGGGAGAGGCGCGUGGAAUUGCAGGUGUAGCGGUGAAAUGCGUAGAUAUCUGCAGGAACACCCGUGGCGAAAGCGGCGCGCUGGACCACUACUGACGCUGAGGAACGAAAGCUAGGGGAGCAAACAGG